CGAAAUGAACUCAGAGAGAGCACUGCAUUGACAUUGCAGGGGUCACAAGUUCAAUCCUUGUCACGCCCACCA
RNAcentral lists this transfer RNA (72 nucleotides) under Mesorhizobium sp. M3A.F.Ca.ET.201.01.1.1. RNAcentral describes it as "tRNA-Val". The record is from RNAcentral. Lineage: Bacteria; Pseudomonadati; Pseudomonadota; Alphaproteobacteria; Hyphomicrobiales; Phyllobacteriaceae.